RNAcentral lists this ribosomal RNA (253 nucleotides) under uncultured bacterium. Its description in RNAcentral is "partial 16S ribosomal RNA". It matches the Rfam family "Bacterial small subunit ribosomal RNA", at positions 524 to 776 of the family's 1533-position model. The record is from RNAcentral.
UACGGGGGGGGCGAGCGUUGUUCGGAAUUACUGGGCGUAAAGGGCUCGUAGGUGGCCAACUAAGUCGGACGUGAAAUCCCUCGGCUUAACCGGGGAACUGCGUCCGAUACUGGUUGGCUUGAGUUUGGGAGAGGGAUGCGGAAUUCCAGGUGUAGCGGUGAAAUUCGUAGAUAUUCGCAAGAACACCAGUGGCGAAGGCGGCUCACUGGCCCGGAACUGACGCUGAGGUGCGAAAGCGUGGGGAGCAAACAGG